Molecule: small RNA, 19 nt
Filed under: Arabidopsis thaliana (thale cress)
Lineage: Eukaryota; Viridiplantae; Streptophyta; Magnoliopsida; Brassicales; Brassicaceae
Description: ATSL170180
Source: RNAcentral
UUUUGUUGUUGAUUUUCUC